RNAcentral lists this ribosomal RNA (411 nucleotides) under Enterococcus hirae. RNAcentral's name for it is "partial 23S ribosomal RNA". It matches the Rfam family "Bacterial large subunit ribosomal RNA", at positions 1 to 396 of the family's 2925-position model. The record is from RNAcentral. Lineage: Bacteria; Bacillati; Bacillota; Bacilli; Lactobacillales; Enterococcaceae.
GCUUGCGAGGGCGUAUGGUGGAUGCCUUGGCAGACAGUACCGAUGAAGGACGUUUGAGGAUGCGAUAAUCCUAGGGGAGCCUCCAACAUGGCUUUGAUCCUAGGGUCUCCGAAUGGGGGAACCCGCCGGCCGUCAUGGGCGGGCACCGCCUAUGGGCGGGGGGUACGCAGGGAAGUGAAACAUCUCAGUACCUGCAGGAAGGGAUACUCCGUGAGUAGUGGCGAGCGAAAGCGGAUCAGACCAAACCGGUUGCGCGUGAUACCCGUCGGGGGUUGCGUUGCCGGUGUUGUGGGAUCACGUGUCCCGGUUCCGACGGGCCGGGCGGGAGUCAUAAAACGGCUUGUCAGGGGAACAGGCUUGAAGGCCUGGCCGUAGAGGGUGCCAGCCCCGUACCUGGACGUGAGCCGUCUU